This 447-nucleotide ribosomal RNA is filed under the name uncultured bacterium. Its description in RNAcentral is "partial 16S ribosomal RNA". It matches the Rfam family "Bacterial small subunit ribosomal RNA", at positions 29 to 523 of the family's 1533-position model. The record is from RNAcentral.
AGCGAACGCUGGCGGCAGGCUUAACACAUGCAAGUCGAACGCCCCGCAAGGGGAGUGGCAGACGGGUGAGUAACACGUGGGAACGUACCCUUUGGUUCGGAAUAACUUGGGGAACCUCAAGCUAAUACCGGACAAGCCCUUAUGGGGAAAGGUUUACUGCCGAAGGGUCGGCCCGCGUCUGAUUAGCUAGUUGGUGAGGUAAUGGCUCACCAAGGCGACGAUCAGUAGCUGGUCUGAGAGGAUGAUCAGCCACACUGGGACUGAGACACGGCCCAGACUCCUACGGGAGGCAGCAGUGGGGAAUAUUGGACAAUGGGGGCAACCCUGAUCCAGCCAUGCCGCGUGAGUGAUGAAGGCCUUAGGGUUGUAAAGCUCUUUUACCCGGGACGAUAAUGACUGUACCGGGAGAAUAAGCCCCGGCUAACUUCGUGCCAGCCGCCGCCGUAA